RNAcentral lists this transfer RNA (76 nucleotides) under Methanobrevibacter sp. Its description in RNAcentral is "tRNA-Gln". It matches the Rfam family "tRNA". From Rfam's summary of the family: Transfer RNA (tRNA) molecules are approximately 80 nucleotides in length. Their secondary structure includes four short double-helical elements and three loops (D, anti-codon, and T loops). Further hydrogen bonds mediate the characteristic L-shaped molecular structure. tRNAs have two regions of fundamental functional importance: the anti-codon, which is responsible for specific mRNA codon recognition, and the 3' end, to which the tRNAs corresponding amino acid is attached (by aminoacyl-tRNA synthetases). tRNAs cope with the degeneracy of the genetic code in two manners: having more than one tRNA (with a specific anti-codon) for a particular amino acid; and 'wobble' base-pairing, i.e. permitting non-standard base-pairing at the 3rd anti-codon position. Lineage: Archaea; Methanobacteriati; Methanobacteriota; Methanobacteria; Methanobacteriales; Methanobacteriaceae. The record is from RNAcentral. RNAcentral also lists the same sequence under 1 other name.
UGGGCUGUAGCCAAGUGGUUAAGGCACCAGACUUUGACUCUGGCAUUCGUAGGUUCAAGUCCCACCAGCCCAGCCA